RNA transcript from Ziziphus jujuba (common jujube), 2758 nucleotides. It is a transcript of the gene named OVARIAN TUMOR DOMAIN-containing deubiquitinating enzyme 12, with no coding region annotated. The transcript has 11 exons. The record is from RefSeq and is a predicted model, not a curated record. Lineage: Eukaryota; Viridiplantae; Streptophyta; Magnoliopsida; Rosales; Rhamnaceae.
AAGUGUGUAAUAAGAAGAAUUUACCCAGAAAGCGCGAAAUCUAACCAACUCUUUCUCUAAGCCACACCCAACCCAACCCCCAAAUCUCAUAACGUUAAAAUCUCUUUCUCUGUCUCUUUUUUCCAUCCUUCUGUCCUCUUAUUCCCUUUUCUUUAUUAUUAUUUUUUCUCUCUUUCUCUGCAGUCGCAGAAACACAGAACCUUCAUAUUCAUCCAAACGAUAACAAAUCUCUCCGACCCUCUCUCUCUCUCUCUGUGUUCCAGAACGAAACUGUUGGUGAAUCCAAUCAAUUAGAUUAUGAUGAAUGGAGGAAAUCAGAGUCAAUGUUCAAGCUCAACAUCCUUUAGCAGCAGCAGCCAGCAGGACACGGACAUGGAGGAUGACCGCAUGAUUGCUCUUAUUCUAACAGAAGAGUAUGCUAACUUAGAUGGCGCAGUUGCUAGACGCCUUUCUGAUCUCGCACCUGUUCCUCAUAUUCCGCGUAUAAAUUCAUUCAUCCCCAACUUAAGUGAUGCUAGUUUGGAUCAUCAACGGCUUAUUCAGAGGUUGAAUCUCUAUGGUUUGCGUGAAGUGAAGGUAUCUGGGGAUGGAAAUUGCCAGUUUCGUGCACUUUCGGACCAGAUGUACAAGUCACCUGAAUAUCACAAACAUGUACGAAAAGAGAUUGUCAAACAGCUCAAAGACUCGAGAUCUUUGUAUGAAGGAUAUGUUCCAAUGAAGUACAAACGCUAUUACAAAAGGAUGGCAAAAUCAGGUGAAUGGGGGGACCAUGUUACUCUACAAGCAGCAGCUGAUAAGUUUGCAGCAAAGAUAUGCCUUUUGACAUCAUUUAGAGAUACUUGUUUUAUUGAAAUCAUGCCACAAUACCGGGCCCCAAGAUGUGAAUUGUGGUUGAGUUUCUGGUCUGAGGUUCAUUACAAUUCAUUAUAUGAAAUCCAAGUUGCUCCAAUUCAACCAAAGCCAAGGAAGAAACACUGGUUGUUUUAGUGGGACCAGUAUAGAAAUUUUGGUCACUGAGGCUGUUGAAAAUUAUAGCACUGUGUAUAAGUUGCCUACAUGUAUCUCUCUCUCAUUCAUUAGAAGAAAUUUCGAGGACAAACGAGGAACAACGUCAGUAUAGAUUGUGACUUAUCGGCCUAGUUUGUUGACAUGUUGUCAUCCGGUUAGUAUCUCAUUCAAUUAUAUGGAUGAUGAAUAAAAUGCUUUAACAAGAUAUAUGGUUUUAUUAGAAAUUGAUGCAGUAGUAACUUCGCCAAGUGUACAACUCUAUAGAUUGGAUUUAAUUAUUGUAAAACGAAAGUGUUUCUGUAUUUCGCCAAAAGAAGGUAAAAUGUUUUUCUGUAUUUUAGAGGUCGAAUGUCCUCUAAUAUAUUUAUGAUGUUGCAAGAUCCAGUAACAUGGAACAAAAAGAAAUAAAAAAGUGUGGGCAUCUUUGUCGGGACUAGCAAUGCAUGUAUGGCGUUAACUCCAUGGCAUUAUAGGUGUUUUGCCUGUCCUGACUUCCUGACUACUAAAUGUUACCCUGCAAGUGCAAGUGCAACUGCAGAAAAUCAAUCUCAGUUCUAAAAUCUAAUCUAAGCAUUUAGAUCCUCCAUCUUUCAAUAAAAAAUUAGUUGUCGGAUAUUUGUUUUACCUUUUUUUUUUUUUUAAUAUAAUUUUCGGUUUUUAUAAGUUGUUAGAAUUUCAUAUUGAGGAAUAUUAGUAUCAAUAUUGUAAGUUGUUACAAGUAUUUUAUGUAUUGAGACUCAUAAGGUUAAAAAAUAAAUACUAUUGCUCUAUCAAUUGAUUAGUUAUUUAGAAUUUUUUCUACUGUGCUAAAAAUGGCUACUUAUGGUAGGACUUUAAACAUGAACUGUUCAAAUCACAAUUAGCUUUUUUUUUUUUUUCUUUUAUCUUUUUUCUAUGGCUAUAUGAAACCCAAAUGAUUAACGUGGUUAAAAAAAAAAAAAUUACGGUAAAUUCAAUGGAAACCAAAAGGAAUUGCUUUGAUUUUUUGCCACAAUAAAAAAAAAAUUUAAUUGAGAUCAUAAAUAUAUGUAUUAAUUACAAUCAUUCAUUGCAAAAUAACUUUAUUUGAAAGUUAAGGAAAAUCAAAAUUGAGAGAAAUCAAUAUUAACCAUACAAUUUGUGAACCGGUGCAUUCCACCAGAUAUUCAAAAGCAUAAGUAAAAUUUUUAAAAAAAAUCUAAGAUAGAACUAAGAAAUGGACAUGUUGAUAAAGUGGAAGAAGAGGGGUUAGUGAAUGAGAUUGAAAGAGGAAGAUUUAAGAAUAAUUUUUAUCCAUUAUAGUGUUUUCUUUCGGACAACUCGGAACGUGGGGUUAAUUGUGUUGUAAAUUCCACGAUUUAAUAAUAUACAUACGCGCUGGCCUUAUGAAUUAACAUGACUUUAGGGUUUACAUGACUCGUGAUGGUUAAAUGGUCCAUUUUAAUUUAACAAUUUAUACGGAAGAUUUUUAAUUGUGAGUGGGUUGCCUUCUUUCGUUUGGUAGUGCAGGAUUUCAAUCUCUUAAUUUCUUGUUAAGGCAACCCGAGUUAGUUAGGAGCUUGCUGUUUGAUAAAAUACCAAAAUGGUUAACCAGCUUCGCUAGAGAUUAACAAAGAAAAGAAUAAAUGGUUUGGAGGCUGCUUGAUGUUGAUGAUCAAUAUUUGAGACUGCUAUUGACAAGCCAGAGAAAAUGGUUCAGCUAGCGUAGUACGUUCUCAUCAUUACAAAUUGUAAUUAAUAAGAGCAAAAAAUAAAGAGAGAGAAAAACAAA